CCUACGGGAGGCUGCAGUGAGGAAUAUUGGUCAAUGGGCGCGAGCCUGAACCAGCCAAGUCGCGUGAGGGAAGACGGCCCUACGGGUUGUAAACCUCUUUUGCCGGGGAGCAACGGGCGCCACGUGUGGCGCCACUGAGAGUACCCGGAGAAAAAGCAUCGGCUAACUCCGUGCCAGCAGCCGCGGUAAUACGGAGGAUGCGAGCGUUAUCCGGAUUUAUUGGGUUUAAAGGGUGCGUAGGCGGCCUGUUAAGUCAGCGGUAAAAGCCCGGGGCUCAACCCCGGCGAGCCGUUGAAACUGGCGGGCUGGAGUUGGAGAGAAGUACGCGGAAUGCGCGGUGUAGCGGUGAAAUGCUUAGAUAUCGCGCAGAACCCCGAUUGCGAAGGCAGUUCACUGGACUGCAACUGACACUGAGGCUCGAAAGUGUGGGUAUCAAACAGGAUUAGAUACCCCAGUAGUC
This 460-nucleotide ribosomal RNA is filed under the name uncultured bacterium. Its description in RNAcentral is "partial 16S ribosomal RNA". It matches the Rfam family "Bacterial small subunit ribosomal RNA", at positions 338 to 795 of the family's 1533-position model. The record is from RNAcentral.